GACGAACGCUGGCGGCGUGCUUAACACAUGCAAGUCGAACGGAAAGGCCCUGCUUUUGUGGGGUGCUCGAGUGGCGAACGGGUGAGUAACACGUGAGUAACCUGCCCUUGACUUUGGGAUAACUUCAGGAAACUGGGGCUAAUACCGGAUAGGAGCUCCUGCUGCAUGGUGGGGGCUGGAAAGUGUCGGCGGUUGGGGAUGGACUCGCGGCUUAUCAGCCUGUUGGUGGGGUAGUGGCUUACCAAGGCUUUGACGGGUAGCCGGCCUGAGAGGGUGACCGGCCACAAUGGGACUGAGAUACGGCCCAGAAUCCUACGGGAGGCAGCAGUGGGGAAUAUUGCACAAUGGGCGGAAGCCUGAUGCAGCAACGCCGCGGGCGGGAUGACGGCCUUCGGGUUGUAAACCGCUUUCGCCUGUGACGAAGCGUGAGUGACGGUAAUGGGUAAAGAAGCACCGGCUAACUACGUG
Molecule: ribosomal RNA, 468 nt
Filed under: uncultured bacterium
Lineage: Bacteria
Description: partial 16S ribosomal RNA
Rfam family: Bacterial small subunit ribosomal RNA
Source: RNAcentral